UACGUAGGGGGCAAGCGUUAUCCGGAUUUACUGGGUGUAAAGGGAGCGUAGACGGCUUUGCAAGCCAGAUGUGAAAGCCCGGGGCUCAACCCCGGGACUGCAUUUGGAACUGUAUGGCCGGAGUGUCGGAGAGGCAGGCGGAAUUCCUAGUGUAGCGGUGAAAUGCGUAGAUAUUAGGAGGAACACCAGUGGCGAAGGCGGCCUGCUGGACGAUGACUGACGUUGAGGCUCGAAAGCGUGGGGAGCAAACAGG
Molecule: ribosomal RNA, 253 nt
Filed under: uncultured bacterium
Lineage: Bacteria
Description: partial 16S ribosomal RNA
Rfam family: Bacterial small subunit ribosomal RNA
Source: RNAcentral